CUUGUUCCAGCAUUUCACUGCCAAGUGCCAGAAGAAUGAGACUAACACCACAUCUACAGACACUGACCCUAGAUCACACCUCCAGGAGACAGGAGACAACAUCUUAACACUUUUCACCAUGCAUCCUCCUCUUGAAUCAGAGUGGACUAUUUGUAACUUUCGCCAGCACCUGGGCAUGAGGGAUUUUGGUAAAGCACAGGAAUGAGAGAAGAUAAAACAAAACGAAGGAGCUUCACAGAACUGGAGCAUAUGUCAACAUUUUCAAAUAUUUAGAUCUCAUUAAAUAGGCAAAAC
RNAcentral lists this long non-coding RNA (294 nucleotides) under Homo sapiens (human). Its description in RNAcentral is "HSALNT0403557". The record is from RNAcentral. Lineage: Eukaryota; Metazoa; Chordata; Mammalia; Primates; Hominidae.